UUGAAAAAAAAAAGUUUGCUUGAGAGAUUAGUCCUAUUAUGGUACAGCACUAUUUUUCUAGAAAAUUAAGGAAGAAAAGAACUAGGACAGGACAUAAACAUUCAUUGGAGCAACACCAUUGAAGCCAGUUUUUCUCUCAAAGAUGUCACUUAAGGCAGGAACUGAAAUCCAUUAAAAGUGAAUGGCUCAUUGUGGAAACAAGUUGAGAUAAUUUUGAUUUCCAGCCCUGGGGGUAUCUGCCAUCAAAGGAGGAGUCAAGAGAAUGUAUAAGGCAAAAAAGACAAAUAACCAAAGAUUUCAGAAGGGGAAAAAUUUAAUUAAAAACCUUGAGCACUAAAAGAUAAAUCAGCAGGGAAGAUAUUAAAACAGAAUGGGAGAUGGGAUCUAGAACAUUCAAAUGAAGUCAAAUGUUUUGAAAAGACAUUUCAAGAUAAAGGAAAAUGAGUUAAUAAUUGAUAAAGUUGAGAACCCAUGGAUUGCCAAAAGAGCAUGGAAUAACAGAAGGAUGUUCUCAAAUGAUUUAAGAGAGAAAUAAGAAUUGUGAAAGAAGAAUUUCUGGCCUGAACAGCAAAAAUAAUUGGCAGAAUGGGAAAAAAAAAGUCAUUGUGGCAAGUGUCUCCAAAGGAAUAAAAGAGGGAACAACUGGUUGGAAAUACAAAUACAUGAAAAGAAUUAUCAAGUGCUUUGAGACCUCUAGUUGACAAGGGUAGAAGAGAAUGG
Molecule: long non-coding RNA, 720 nt
Organism: Sarcophilus harrisii (Tasmanian devil)
Lineage: Eukaryota; Metazoa; Chordata; Mammalia; Dasyuromorphia; Dasyuridae
Exons: 2
Source: RefSeq, a predicted model, not a curated record